CCUACGGGGGGCAGCAGUGAGGAAUAUUUGUCAAUGGGCGGGAGCCUGAACCAGCCAAGUCGCGUGCAGGAAGAAGGUACUUAGUAUUGUAAACUUCUUUUGUCGGGGAACAAAGGCGGAGACGCGUCUCCGGAUGAGUGUACCCGAAGAAAAAGCAUCGGCUAACUCCGUGCCCGCAGACGCGGUAAUACGGAGGAUGCGAGCGGUAGCCGGAUUUAUUGGGUUUAAAGGGUGCGUAGGCGGGAGAUAAAGUCCGCGGUAAAAUUUUGGGGCUCAACCCCGGACGGCCGUUGAAACUGGUGUUAUAGAGUUGGAGAGAAGUAUGCGGAAUUCGUGGUGUAGCGGGGAAAUGCAUAGAUAUCACGAAGAACUCCGAUUGCGAAGGCAGCAUACCGGCUCCAUACUGACGCUGAGGCACGAAAGCGUGGGGAUCGAACAGGAUUAGAUACCCUGGUAGUC
RNAcentral lists this ribosomal RNA (459 nucleotides) under uncultured bacterium. Its description in RNAcentral is "partial 16S ribosomal RNA". It matches the Rfam family "Bacterial small subunit ribosomal RNA", at positions 338 to 795 of the family's 1533-position model. The record is from RNAcentral.